GCCUGCCCAGGAGAUGAACUACUUUUCACACACAUUUUGAGCCAAGCCGAAGCCAGAAGCCACGCAAGGCUGGUGGAAAAGUACCGCGUCACCCCGGCGAGAAGUAAACUUCAGCCGCGCUUCACGGAGUUGAAGCCCGGCUCCGAUGGAGCCGGCAUCGGCCAGCCCACAGCCGCGCACCUUUACACCGUUACGAACGCGCGCCGACCCUCACCUCGCACAGCUGCGAGCGGGCAGUCCCAAGCCCUCGGUCCUACGGGGCGGGCACUCGCAGCGCUCUUCAAGCACUCGGUUUCGGCCGUAAGCCGGGCGCGCCGCCUGCAUACGUACCUCCGCGAGAAACCCGGACGGCGGGCGCUCUCCCUGCUGCCGAGGGCCUCGCCGGCACAACGCACCGAGCGCGUGUCUCCGCUGAGCCGCGCGCAGGCGGCAGCGCAGGACCCGGGUCCGCGCGGAGCUCCCCGCCGCGGCGCGCCGCGCUCCUCCACCUGCGCCGCUCCCAACUCAGCGGAGCGGCGCCGCGGGCGCUUCCCCCUCCGGAGGCGGCCGCGAACCUCGGGGCUCCGCCGGCGGCCGGACACUCCCACAGCGGGCAGCGGCGGCGGGAAAGUUCGCCGCCCCUCCGCCUUCCCUUUCGGCUUCUCCUCCCCGGCCGAGCGGCCCGGCGCCGAGGGCGUCAGGGAGGCGGCACUCGGCAGAGCGGCCCCGCCGCCGCCUCAGCGCCGCCGCGGUCGGAGGCGGCUUCGAGGCGGCGCGCGGCGGCCGUUGCCGCGGCCGUUACCGUCGGCCUCAUGCUCGCCGUUCGCCCCCGACAUCACUCGGGCUCCCGCCCCAUCGCCGAGCGGUGACUCACCGCGCCGCGGGCCGGAAAAACCGGCGCGGCCGCCGCCCGGCCCCCGCGCUAACGGUGGUGGCGGCGGCGCCGCCUCUGCGCGCGCGCGGUCCCCCCGCCGCCGCGCCGGGAGGGACGGGCGGGCCCAGCGGCGGCCGCGGGGAGCGCGGCGCCCCCCGCGCCUCUCGGGGAGCGGCUCUGCCGGAACUCUGGCACCCGACCCGCCGAAGGCCGAGCGAUGCGGGCAGCCCCCGCUGGCCUUAAAAAUAAAUAAAUAA
This 1110-nucleotide long non-coding RNA is filed under the name Phasianus colchicus (ring-necked pheasant). RNAcentral's name for it is "lncRNA (ENSPCLG00000016259.1)". Lineage: Eukaryota; Metazoa; Chordata; Aves; Galliformes; Phasianidae. The record is from RNAcentral.